This 1794-nucleotide long non-coding RNA is filed under the name Nicotiana tabacum (common tobacco). Its description in RNAcentral is "long non-coding RNA (NTAB_LNC010964)". Lineage: Eukaryota; Viridiplantae; Streptophyta; Magnoliopsida; Solanales; Solanaceae. The record is from RNAcentral.
GAGCCGCAGUCACAACAUUAGUGAUUUCUGCAUUGUAACAAAGGAAGUUGCGAUCACAACACAUGAUUCACGAUCUCAGCAAGGCAAGCUCUGCGAGGCAGUAAACCCAAGCUCAAAGAUGCGAUCGUGAACCCGGUUGCUACAAUCGCCACUACUAUGAGGCUGCUGAGAUAUUGAGCUCAGCUUCAUAAAUUGUGAAAACGGCCCCAAGGACCACUUAUCACAGCUUUCUUCCUAGGAUCUCAAAUAUUCAGUGUUAAAAUCAGCCGAUCACUGCACAAGGCCUGCGAUCGUAGCAAAGGUAUUUCAUACCUACAACCAUAAAUUUUAUCAUUUUCUCGACUCCCCCACCGCAAACUCAGUCCAUGAAGAUGAAAUCACUUCCCACUUCUUCUCAAUAUCAAGGUAGCUCGAAUUUAACUUGGUUUAAGCUAUUCCUACUAUAAUACCACUUGAUUUAACUCUCAAAUCAUAGAUUUUUGGUUGGAUUCCCUAUUCUGCCAAAUUUCACCCAGGUAUACUAGGGUUUGAACUAUGGAGGUAGUUUGAGAUAUUUGACUCUACCCAACUAUUUUAUAGACUUUAUAGUUUAUGGGUGGCGUGAUUAUGCUAUGAGAAUGAUGUGAAGGGGUCGGAUGAAUCAAGAUUCACCAUAGAUUACCAUGAAAAUGGUAGCAUGACUAUGGCCAAGUCCCAAAAGAUGGAUUAGCCUUCCAUUUGCAUUGGUUUUACAACAAGUCUAUACAUCCGUAUUAACUAUUAACUCCUAAGGCUCAAAGCCUACAAAACCUAAGACCUCCUUUGAACAAUGGAGCUAGUUACAAGUUUGAACUGAUCUGUAAAUUCGUUUCUGCAUCAACAUUUUACAUUGAUGAAUGGGCGAAUUUGAAACAAAAUGAAAAAAAGGAGAAAAAACUAUCUUCUUAGCUUGUUUGAAGAACUUGAAAUUGCCUGCUGUAGAUAUCUCAGUGUCUUUUGAUGAUUAAGGAAUCCCAUAAACCAGAACUCAAAAUCAUCCUCUGUAACUACUUGUAUAUACUUCUGUGAUCGCUUUUCCAUAUUUUCACUCUCUUUUGCUUUCUUUGUCUUACUUAUUGGGAUCGAUACCUGCAAUUGUUUAUUGGUCUAUUAGAUUAUGCUUUACAUGGCUCGAAUAGAGAUGCAAGGAAACCAGAGCAGAGGGGUACCUUAUAACGGAUUCUAAGCAAUUUUCCAGUUGGAGAUAAGAGCUUUAUUGAUCGCUCACUGCAGAAAGCAAUCUUAUCAGUAGAGAUGAAGAGAAGCCCUGCCAUUGGACCAGCUGUAGUUGAUAAAUAGCAUUGAGAAACCUUCAAUAGCUUUUCAUCAUUUCUAACACUAAACUUCUGCUUGAAUAUUCUCUCCAACCCUCCUACUUGAAGUAUUUUUGCCCCGAGGCUCAAUUUUCCCUUCACAGUUUCUGUUAGCUUCGGGCUAAGGCUCACUGCACAAUUAAAGUUGAAACAUUAACUUCAUUACAAUCAAUACUUUCUAUCGUAUAUACAUGUAAAUAGUGCUUUUUUGCAUGGUUUUGUACAUCAUGACUCACUUAUCUGUGUUCUUUAGAUUUACAUUCUUUCAUUUGGCCAUGCUUCACUUGCAACUACUGAAAUCAUUAUAUGCAAGCUGAAGUUUGAUUACCAGUAUUUCCAAUAUUGAAAAACUUGUUUGAUGAGUAUGUCAAGUGAAAAUUGGUUUUAAGACACUAUACAUCAAUUUUUUCCCCAGGUUCGUUCAUGCCCGAACACAACUGAAUCAAAUACUCUUUUGCAUCUU